UGAACCCUGCCCUGCGCGUGCUUGGAGUGAAUGGGUUAUUGAUCCAACACCAACUAUCAGGGAAUCCUAAGGUUAGACAUAGACGUAUGCUUCCCUUGGGGAGAAACGAAAAUGUCUAACAGGAUGCCCACCUGACGACCUCAGGUUCAGUCUCAUUCUUCCACACGGCAGGUGUGGGGCGUUU
This 184-nucleotide non-coding RNA is filed under the name Candidatus Omnitrophota bacterium. RNAcentral describes it as "Candidatus Omnitrophica bacterium 6S RNA". It matches the Rfam family "6S / SsrS RNA". From Rfam's summary of the family: E. coli 6S RNA was the first non coding RNA to be sequenced, but its function was unknown until recently. It consists of 184 nucleotides that fold into an extended hairpin structure with a large single-stranded internal bulge. The record is from RNAcentral. Lineage: Bacteria; Pseudomonadati; Candidatus Omnitrophota.